CCUACGGGAGGCUGCAGUGAGGAAUAUUGGUCAAUGGCCGGAAGGCUGAACCAGCCAAGCCGCGUGAAGGACGAAGGUGCCAAGCAUUGUAAACUUCUUUUGUCAAGGGACAAAAUCAGGCUCGAGAGCCUGACCGAGGGUACUUGAAGAAACAGCAUCGGCUAACUCCGGGCCAGCAGUCGCUGUAAUACGGAGGAUGCGAGCGUUAUACGGAUUGAUUGGGUUUAAAGGGUUCGUAGGCGGGCUGUUAAGUCAGCGGUAAAAGCCCGGGGCUCAACCCCGGCGAGCCGUUGAAACUGGGUGUCUUGAGAUGUCGAGAGGUAUGCGGAAUGCGCAGUGUAGCGGUGAAAUGCUUAGAUAUUGCGCAGAACUCCGAUUGCGCAGGCAGCAUACCGGCGGCGAUCUGACGCUGAGGCACGAAAGCGUGGGUAUCGAACAGGAUUAGAUACCCGAGUAGUC
RNAcentral lists this ribosomal RNA (459 nucleotides) under uncultured bacterium. Its description in RNAcentral is "partial 16S ribosomal RNA". It matches the Rfam family "Bacterial small subunit ribosomal RNA", at positions 338 to 795 of the family's 1533-position model. The record is from RNAcentral.